AAAAAGAAAGAAAGAAAGAAAGAAAAGAAAAGAAAAUCGAGGGCACAUGUUGGUCCUUUUGUUCUCAUCUGCUCCUUUUGUUUUUCUCUUAGUUU
Molecule: non-coding RNA, 95 nt
Filed under: Chromera velia
Lineage: Eukaryota; Chromeraceae
Source: RNAcentral